Molecule: ribosomal RNA, 531 nt
Filed under: Saguinus niger (black-handed tamarin)
Lineage: Eukaryota; Metazoa; Chordata; Mammalia; Primates; Cebidae
Description: partial large subunit ribosomal RNA
Rfam family: Bacterial large subunit ribosomal RNA
Source: RNAcentral
AGGCACUGCCUGCCCAGUGACAUAUGUUCAACGGCCGCGGUACCCUGACCGUGCAAAGGUAGCAUAAUCACUUGUUCUCUAAAUAGGGACUUGUAUGAACGGCCACACGAGGGUUUAACUGUCUCUUACUUUCAAUCAGUGAAAUUGACCUAUCCGUGAAGAGGCGGAUAUGCCAAAAUAAGACGAGAAGACCCUAUGGAGCUUCAAUUCAAUAGUACAAACUAAUAACUUAAAAACCUACCAGGCAAUAACCUACCGUCAGUGUACUAUAAAUUUUGGUUGGGGUGACCUCGGAGUAUAACACAACCUCCGAAAAGCAUAUACUAAGACCUCACUAGUCUAAGUAANNACAUACAACUAUUGACCCAAUANNNANCUUGAUCAACGGACUAAGUUACCCUAGGGAUAACAGCGCAAUCCUAUUUUAGAGUCCAUAUCGACAAUAGGGUUUACGACCUCGAUGUUGGAUCAAGACAUCCUAAUGGUGCAGAAGCUAUUAAGGGUUCGUUUGUUCAACGAUUAAAGUCUUAC